RNAcentral lists this transfer RNA (92 nucleotides) under Xanthomonas phage XacN1. RNAcentral describes it as "tRNA-Ser". It matches the Rfam family "tRNA". Rfam says of the family: Transfer RNA (tRNA) molecules are approximately 80 nucleotides in length. The record is from RNAcentral. Lineage: Duplodnaviria; Heunggongvirae; Uroviricota; Caudoviricetes.
GGAAGCGUGUCCGAGUGGCUUAUGGUAGCUCUUUGCUAAAGAGCCGACCCCUUAAACGGGGUCCGCAGGUUCGAAUCCUGCCGCUUCCGCCA